Molecule: ribosomal RNA, 497 nt
Filed under: uncultured bacterium
Lineage: Bacteria
Description: partial 16S ribosomal RNA
Rfam family: Bacterial small subunit ribosomal RNA
Source: RNAcentral
GAUGAACGCUGGCGGCGUGCCUAAUACAUGCAAGUCGAGCGAACAGACGAGGAGCUUGCUCCUCUGACGUUAGCGGCGGACGGGUGAGUAACACGUGGAUAACCUACCUAUAAGACUGGGAUAACUUCGGGAAACCGGAGCUAAUACCGGAUAAUAUAUUGAACCGCAUGGUUCAAUAGUGAAAGACGGUUUUGCUGUCACUUAUAGCUGGAUCCGCGCCGCAUUAGAUAGUUGGUAAGGUAACGGCUUACCAAGGCAACGAUGCGUAGCCGACCUGAGAGGGUGAUCGGCCACACGGGAACGGAGACACGGUCCAGACUCCUACGGGAGGCAGCAGUAGGGAAUCUUCCGCAAAGGGCGAAAGCCUGACGGAGCAACGCCGCGUGAGUGAUGAAGGUCUUCGGAUCGUAAAACUCUGUUAUUAGGGAAGAACAAAUGUGUAAGUAACUAUGCACGUCUUGACGGUACCUAAUCAGAAAGCCACGGCUAACUACGUG